Molecule: ribosomal RNA, 484 nt
Filed under: uncultured bacterium
Lineage: Bacteria
Description: partial 16S ribosomal RNA
Rfam family: Bacterial small subunit ribosomal RNA
Source: RNAcentral
AUUGAACGCUGGCGGCAUGCCUUACACAUGCAAGUCGAACGGCAGCACGGACUUCGGUCUGGUGGCGAGUGGCGAACGGGUGAGUAAUGUAUCGGAACGUACCUUUCAGUGGGGGAUAACGUAGCGAAAGUUACGCUAAUACCGCAUAUUCUGUGAGCAGGAAAGCAGGGGAUCGAAAGACCUUGCGCUGAUUGAGCGGCCGAUAUCAGAUUAGCUAGUUGGUGGGGUAAAGGCCUACCAAGGCGACGAUCUGUAGCGGGUCUGAGAGGAUGAUCCGCCACACUGGAACUGAGACACGGUCCAGACUCCUACGGGAGGCAGCAGGGGGGAAUUUUGGACAAUGGGGGCAACCCUGAUCCAGCCAUGCCGCGUGAGUGAAGAAGGCCUUCGGGUUGUAAAGCUCUUUCGGCCGGGAAGAAAUCGCAUAGGCUAAUACCCUGUGUGGAUGACGGUACCGGAAUAAGAAGCACCGGCUAACUACGUG